GACGAACGCUGGCGGCGUGCUUAACACAUGCAAGUCGAACGGAAAGGCCUUUUCGGAGGUACUCGAGUGGCGAACGGGUGAGUAACACGUGGGUGAUCUGCCCUGCACUCUGGGAUAAGCCUGGGAAACUGGGUCUAAUACCGGAUAGGACCGCACUUUAGUGUGUGUGGUGGAAAGUUUUUUCGGUGUAGGAUGAGCCCGCGGCCUAUCAGCUUGUUGGUGGGGUAAUGGCCUACCAAGGCGGCGACGGGUAGCCGGACUGAGAGGUUGGUCGGCCACAUUGGGACUGAGAUACGGCCCAGACUCCUACGGGAGGCAGCAGUGGGGAAGAUUGCACAAUGGGCGCAAGCCUGAUGCAGCGACGCCGCGUGGGGGAGGACGGCCUUCGGGUUGGAAACUCCUUUCGCCAGGGACGAAGCGUUUUGUGACGGUACCUGGAGAAGAAGCACCGGCUAACUACGUG
Molecule: ribosomal RNA, 463 nt
Filed under: uncultured bacterium
Lineage: Bacteria
Description: partial 16S ribosomal RNA
Rfam family: Bacterial small subunit ribosomal RNA
Source: RNAcentral